Molecule: unclassified non-coding RNA, 169 nt
Filed under: soil metagenome
Description: partial contains 5.8S ribosomal RNA, internal transcribed spacer 2, and large subunit ribosomal RNA
Source: RNAcentral
AACCAUAGAAACCUGCGGAGUACCUGCGGAGGGAUCAUUAAUAAAUGUUACUUCGGUAACUUAAUUAAUCCCUAACACCUGUGCAUCUUGUCGCUUCGGCGUCAUUUUAUAAACAUCAGUGUAAUGAAUGUAACGUAUUAUAACAAAUACAACUUUCAACAACGGAUCU